Small nuclear RNA from Anolis carolinensis (green anole), 164 nucleotides. Its record names the gene U1. It matches the Rfam family "U1 spliceosomal RNA". Rfam says of the family: U1 is a small nuclear RNA (snRNA) component of the spliceosome (involved in pre-mRNA splicing). Its 5' end forms complementary base pairs with the 5' splice junction, thus defining the 5' donor site of an intron. NCBI's taxonomy places the organism in Eukaryota, Metazoa, Chordata, Lepidosauria, Squamata, Anolidae. The record is from Ensembl.
AUUCUUACCUGGCAGGGGAGACACCAUGAUCAUGAAGGUGGUUUUCCCAGGGUAAAGCUCAUCCAUUGCACUCCGGGUGUGCUGACCCCUGUGAUUUCCCCAAAUAUGGGAAACUCAAAUGCAUAAUUUGUGGUAGUGGGGGAUUGCAAUCAUACUUUCCCCUG